CUUAUUUUCAACUUUGGUGGCGGUGCUCCCAAUGCGGUUCUGGCAUUCUUCUCCGACCAUCUUCAGCAAUCUUUCAGUAUUCCAAGCAAAGGCCCAAUUGUAGGUUGGCUCUUUGGGUGUUUCCUUGUUCCUUUGGUCUUCUUCUUCGAGUGUCGUCUCUCCAUUUUAGCUUCUUCUUCCAAUUGUUCUAUCAUUUCCUUUUUCCCUUGUUAAUCUUACUUGGUCCUAGUCUAGGAUGGGUGAGUUGAGGAACACAGUAGGGGGCUGAUCC
Molecule: long non-coding RNA, 271 nt
Filed under: Elaeis guineensis (African oil palm)
Lineage: Eukaryota; Viridiplantae; Streptophyta; Magnoliopsida; Arecales; Arecaceae
Description: long non-coding RNA (EGUI_LNC018219)
Source: RNAcentral